CCUACGAGAGGCAGCAGUGAGGAAUAUUGGUCAAUGGGCGCGAGCCUGAACCAGCCAAGUAGCGUGAAGGAUGACUGCCCUACGGGUUGUAAACUUCUUUUAUAAAGGAAUAAAGUGAGGCACGUGUGCCUUUUUGUAUGUACUUUAUGAAUAAGGAUCGGCUAACUCCGUGCCAGCAGCCGCGGUAAUACGGAGGAUCCGAGCGUUAUCCGGAUUUAUUGGGUUUAAAGGGAGCGUAGAUGGGUUGUUAAGUCAGUUGUGAAAGUUUGCGGCUCAACCGUAAAAUUGCAAUUGAUACUGGCAGUCUUGAGGACAGUUGAGGUAGGCUGAAUUCGUGGUGUAGCGGUGAAAUGCUUAGAUAUCACGAAGAACUCCGAUUGCGAAGGCAGCUUACUAAACUGCCACUGACAUUGAUGCUCGAAAGUGUGGGUAUCAAACAGGAGUAGAUACCCGAGUAGUC
This 460-nucleotide ribosomal RNA is filed under the name uncultured bacterium. RNAcentral's name for it is "partial 16S ribosomal RNA". It matches the Rfam family "Bacterial small subunit ribosomal RNA", at positions 338 to 795 of the family's 1533-position model. The record is from RNAcentral.